GGACAGAAAGACCCUAUGAAGCUUUACUGUAACUUGAAAUUGAAAUUGGACUUUAUUCGCGCAGUAUAGGUGGGAGGCAUUGAAAAUAAUCUUGCGGGAAUAUUGGAGCCAUCAGUGAGAUACCACUCUUGUAAUGUUAGAUUUCUAACUUUGAAUCAUUAUCUGGUCAAAGAACAGUUUCAGGCGGGCAGUUUGACUGGGGCGGUAG
RNAcentral lists this ribosomal RNA (208 nucleotides) under Hemiselmis tepida. RNAcentral describes it as "partial Bacterial large subunit ribosomal RNA". It matches the Rfam family "Bacterial large subunit ribosomal RNA", at positions 2078 to 2285 of the family's 2925-position model. The record is from RNAcentral. Lineage: Eukaryota; Cryptophyceae; Cryptomonadales; Hemiselmidaceae.